UUAAGCAUAUCAAUAAGCGGAGGAAAAGAAACCAACAGGGAUUGCCCCAGUAACGGCGAGUGAAGCGGCAACAGCUCAAAUUUGAAAUCUGGCCCCAGGCCCGAGUUGUAAUUUGCAGAGGAUGCUUUUGGCGCGGUGCCUUCCGAGUUCCCUGGAACGGGACGCCAUAGAGGGUGAGAGCCCCGUACGGUUGGACACCAAGCCUUUGUAAAGCUCCUUCGACGAGUCGAGUAGUUUGGGAAUGCUGCUCAAAAUGGGAGGUAUAUUUCUUCUAAAGCUAAAUAUUGGCCAGAGACCGAUAGCGCACAAGUAGAGUGAUCGAAAGAUGAAAAGCACUUUGAAAAGAGGGUUAAACAGCACGUGAAAUUGUUGAAAGGGAAGCGCUUGUGACCAGACUUGCGCCCGGUGAAUCACCCAGCUCUCGCGGCUGGGGCACUUUGCCGGCACAGGCCAGCAUCAGCUCGCUGUCGGGGACAAAAGCUUCGGGAACGUAGCUCUCUUCGGGGAGUGUUAUAGCCCGUUGCAUAAUACCCUUCGGUGGGCUGAGGUACGCGCUCCGCAAGGAUGCUGGCGUAAUGGUCAUCAGCGACCCGUCUUGAAACACGGACCAAGGAGUCAACCUUAUGUGCGAGUGUUUGGGUGUCAAACCCCUACGCGUAAUGAAAGUGAACGCAGGUGAGAGCUUCGGCGCAUCAUCGACCGAUCCUGAUGUUCUCGGAUGGAUUUGAGUAAGAGCAUAUAGGGUUGGACCCGAAAGAAGGUGAACUAUGCGUGUAUAGGGUGAAGCCAGAGGAAACUCUGGUGGAGGCUCGCAGCGGUUCUGACGUGCAAAUCGAUCGUCAAAUAUGCGCAUGGGGGCGAAAGACUAAUCGAACCUUCUAGUAGCUGGUUUCCGCCGAAG
RNAcentral lists this ribosomal RNA (901 nucleotides) under Colletotrichum trichellum. Its description in RNAcentral is "LSU rRNA". It matches the Rfam family "Eukaryotic large subunit ribosomal RNA", at positions 34 to 966 of the family's 3401-position model. Lineage: Eukaryota; Fungi; Ascomycota; Sordariomycetes; Glomerellales; Glomerellaceae. The record is from RNAcentral.